This 5733-nucleotide long non-coding RNA is filed under the name Salmo salar (Atlantic salmon). Its description in RNAcentral is "lncRNA (ENSSSAG00000120590.1)". The record is from RNAcentral. Lineage: Eukaryota; Metazoa; Chordata; Actinopteri; Salmoniformes; Salmonidae.
CAUGGAAAUUCAUUUCAUUAGGCAUUAAUCAUGCAAAUGCAUUAAAAAUGUUUUAUUGUGACACGGCAUCGGUAAUCUUCGGUUCUCUAUCCAUAGAAUUAGUCCACCGCGCUUCCAAGAUGGCCACGUCAUUGAUUUUUUUUUUACGCAUGCAAAGUUGUUCACUUUAGUCGAUUCAAACAAUCCCAAUUUCACAUGAAACAAGCACCCAUCAAGACACAUAGACGAUAGAGACAGUUUUGAUGAUGCUCAGAACUGAAUGUUUAAAAAAAAAAGUUUUCUUAUGGUUUUUAUGAGAAGUUUUGUGAAUUAAAUGUUUUACAUUUUUAUUUUUACUUUUUCAUAUUCAUUAUCAUCAGAGACACCCCAAAAUGGCAGUUUUCUAUGUUUUGUAGUAAAAAAAGAUAGAGAAAGAUAAGCGUUUCAAAUGACAUCAUCAACCAAUUAGUAGAUAAUUAGUAGGCAACUAGUAGUCAAUUAGUUGGCAAUUAGUAGGCAAUUAGUAGUCAAUUAGUAGUCAAAUAGUAGUCAAUUAGUAGUCAAAUAGUUGUCAAUUAGUAGGCAAUUAGUAGUCAAAUAGUUGUCAAAUAGUAGUCAAUUAGUAGUCAAAUAGUUGUCAAUUAGUAGUCAAUUAGUGGUCAAUUAGUAGUCAAUUAGUAGUCAAUUAGUGGUCAAUUAGUAGUCAAUUAGUAGUCAAAUAGUAGUCAAUUAGUAGGCAAUGCCUACUCACAAUUGAUCAAAAUCACACGAUGUACACCACUUCUCUUCAUCUAUCUGUUUUACUACAAAACAUAGAAACACACCAUUUUCACAUAUGUUAAUGUUGGAGUGAUGCUGGAGAUGAUUAAUAUGAAGUAGAAAAAAUUGUGAAGUUUCCCCUUUAACGUUUUGAGAACGGAAUGUAUGUUUUUAAAUAACAUCCUUAGAACAUUCUCAGAAUGUUACUAAAUUUCCUUGUGGUUUUUACGAAACGGUUUUCUUAACAUUCUCGGAGCAAUUUGAGAACAUUACUUUUAAUAGAACCAUAAGGAAAACCUGUAGAUAACAUUAUGCUGAAGUAUUGAAAUUCCCACAGAAGAACAUUGUUUCUUAACGUUCUCUGAACUAGUCGAGAAAAUUCCCCAAUGUCAAACCAGUUGGAGAACGUUCUAAGAACAGGAAACGUUCUGUUAAAGUAAUGAACGUCAAGUUUUUAAAUGUGGUGAGAAUGUUCCAAAGCCAAGCAACUAUCUUGCACCAUUCCUAGAACGUUGUGGGAAGAUUAUAUAAUAACCAUAGGACAACCACACUCUCACUAAGCUCUAAGAAACAAAAGGUAUAUUGGGAAAGUAUUCAGACCCCUUGACUUUUUCCACAUUCUGUUACGCUACAGCCAUAUUCUAAAAAAAAAAAUCCCCUCAUCAAUUUACACAUAAUAUAAUAAUAUAAUAAUUAUGACAAAGCAAAAACAGGUUUAGAAUUUCUUUUAGAAAUGUAUGUAAAAAAAAAAACUGAAAUAUAACAUUUGCAUAAGUAUUCAGACACUUUACUCAGUACUUUGUUGAAGCACCUUUGGUAGCGAUUACAGCCUCAAGUCUUCUUGGGUAUGACGCUACAAGCUUGGCACACCUGUAUUUGGGGAGUUUCUCCCAUUCUUCUCUGUAAAUCCUCUCAAGCUCUUUCAAGUUGGAUGUGGAGCAUCGCUGGACAGCUAUUUCAGGUCUCUCCAGAGAUGUUCGAUCAUGUCCGGGAUGUUCGAGAUGUCUGGGCUCUGGCUGGGCCACUCAAGGACAUUUAGAGAUUUGCCCAGAAGCCACUCCUGCGUUGUCUUGGCUGUGUGCUUAGGGUCGUUGUCCUGUUGGAAGGUGAACCUUCACCCCAGUCUGAGGUCCUGAGCGCUCUGGAGCACGUUUUCAUCAAGGAUCUCUCUGUACGUUGCUCCGUUCAUCUUUCCCUUGAUCCUGACUAGUCUCCCAGUCCCUGCCGUUGAAAAACAUCCCCACAGCAUAAUGCUGCCACCACCAUGCUUCACCGUAGGGAUGGUGCCAGGUUUCCUCCAGACGUGAAGCUUGGCAUUCAGGCCAAAGAGUUACAUCUUGGUUUCAUCAGACGAGAGAAUAUUGUUUCUCAUGGUCUGAGAGUCCUGACAGCCCAACUCCAAGUGGGAUGUCAUGUGCCUUUUACUGAGGAGUGGCUACCGGUUGUCCUUCUGGAAGGUUCUCCCAUCUCCUCAGAGAAACUCUGGAGCUCUGUCAGAGUGACCAUUGGGUUCUUGGUCACUUCCCUGACCAAGGCCAUUCUCCCCCGAUCGCUCAGUUUGGCCGGGUGGCCAGCUCUAGGAAGUGUCUUGGUGUUUACAAACUUCUUCCUUUUAAGAAUGAUGGAGGACACUGUGUUCUUAGGGACCUUCAAUGCUGCAGAAAUGUUUUGGUUUCCUUCCCUAGAUCUGUGCCUUCCCACAAUCCUGUCUCUGAGCUCUCUGGACAAUUCCUUUGACCUCAUGGCUUGUUUUUGGCUCUGACAUGCACUGUCAACUGUGGGACCUUAUAUAGACAGGUGUGUGCCUUUCCAAAUCAUGUCCAAUCAAUUGAAUUUACCACAGGUGGACUCCAAUCAAGCUGUAGAAACAUCUCAAGGAUGAUCAAUGGAAACAGGAUGGACCUGAGCUCAAUUUCGAGUCUCAUAGCAAAGGGAUCGAAUUAUUAUGUAAAUAAGGUAUUUCUGUUUUUUAUUUUGAAUACAUGUGACCGACCGGCUAGAUUCAGUCUAAUGUAGAAAAAUAUGAAAUUGUGUUUUUUACAUUGGAUAAAAGUAGAGACUCAGAGCUAGAAAAUGGUCUAUCAUACACCACAGUUGAUGAACAAUGGGAAAGUAAUUCUGCUUUGAAAGUUGAUAAACUUGUAACCCCACUUUUGAGAAAAUAGCCUUUGAAUAUUUUUGAUACACCUACAUCUUUGUCUCCACCCAUUCAGCAUUGUUCACACCCUGUUAAGCUUUAGCCCCGCCCAUCUCUUCAAGGAUUUGCAUGUACGGUCGAGGAGUAGGGUUUAUCCGAGCAUUCUGUCCUAAUAACGUUAGAUAGCUUGCUAGUUACUUCCGACACAAAUGAGAGAACAGCUCGCUCUGACCAUUUUAUUAGUCAUAGCAGAGCUGGUUAGGCUGUUUUCAUGUUAUCCAGAGUGUUGGUGACUGUAACUGUGCUGCUGGCAACAAUUUAAUUACACUUUUUUUUUUGCCAACGUUUACCAACACCAGCCAUAUUCAACGGGUGUUGAGCGUUCGUAAAUUCGUCAGUAAUUCUGCGCUCGAGCACACUCAGACGAGAGUGCUCUGAAAUCGGAGUAGAUAGCCAGAGCGAAUUUACCAGCUACGUCUAUCAACAUUUAUCGCAGUGACACCUUAACACACUAUUGAAAUGGUUACUUACAUAUUGGAGUCGUUUGUUAAGAUAUGUAUCUCGCUAGCUAAACCAUUUACCAUAAUCCCAAAUCAUGAUGUUACUACCCUGCAUGAAUCUGCAGGUAGCUAACCAACAAGGUUCAAUGUUAGCUAGAUAUAAAUUAGGCUAUAACUAGCAAAGCAAAUUUCUCUAAUAUUACUAUCACAGAUCAUACACGUAACGUUAGCUAGUGAGCCAGCCAGCUAACGUUAGAGAGGCUAGCUAACAGUACACGUUAACUUGAAAUGAAAAUGACUUUCUGACAAAAUUAGAAUCAUGUAACAUCUGAAGAUUAAGCUAGCUAGACUAUCUUAUCCAUAUACAUGGAUGGACGCUUCUCCCUCUCUGUCAUGGAUGCCAUGGUUGCCCUUAGUUUGAACAUGUAAUCCGGAGAUAGGUGUUUUUUCCAUCCCCUUAGUUAUCAUACUCUAAUUCCACUGAUUUCAAAACUCGGUCCUCCAGAAAUUAGAGAGGAACACUUAUGCAGUUCUCAUAUGCGAUAUCUUUUUUUUUUAAAGCCGCGAUAGAAAGGAUUACAUACACAUAGUGACCAGCUCAAAUAAACAGAAGCGUGCUACAUGGGAGACCAAUCCGAACUCAUCUCUCAGCAUGUCCAGCCCACUCAUUAUCUCAGCCAAUCAUGGCUAGCAGGAAGGUUGCUGUCUUUUUGUGUGGCUGAACCAACUCGGCUCGCAAUGUAACAAUUUUAUUUGUAUUUACAGAUGGAAUACAAGUUUGUUAUUAAGGCACAUGAAAGUUCACAUGUUCCAGAAGGCAUUUCUGCCCAAAAAAACGCAUUUUGAUUUAAAAAACAGCUAACCUUCAAAUGGUUUUCCUGUGAAGUAGUAACGUGCGAAAUACGCAUAGUUUCUUCAAACGAGUCACUAAUUAGCAAAAAUGUCUACAAACCUGUUUUCGCUUUGUCAUUAUAGGGUUUUGUGUGUAGAUUGAUGAGAAACAUUUUUAAUUCAUUCAUUUUAGAAUAAGGCUGUAAAGUAACAACAUUUGCAAAUUGUCAAAGGGUCUGAAUACUUUCCGGAUGCACUGUAUGGUUCUCAGAACGUUAUGUGCUAGCUGGGAUGUAGUUAGACUGAAGUCCAAUAGUCAAACAGGCUGCUAAAGUUAGCCUGCAUGGCUGCUAACAUAGUCUAGGUAUGGCUGAACUAUUUUGGCUGAGAUGAUGCAUUAAUGUUGCAGUCCAGUGGCUUGGGAGGUGGUGUAAAGAUAAUUGUAACAGUAUACUGCAGAAGGAGAUGUAAUGUAGUAAGUCCAGGAAGUGGUAAGGCCAUGAUGUAAUGUAGUAAGUCCAGGAAGUGGUAAGGAAGGUUGUUAUGGAUGAUGUUCCUGCAUUGUCACUCAGUGGAAUGAGCUCGGGAGCAACAUUUGUGCUCCUGCAUGUUCUUCAACAGCAAACGGAAAGGGUUCCUCCGGCGCCUGCCUCUUGUUCCCUCCGGCUCCCUUCUCUUCCUGGCCGAGCGCUUACCUGACAACACAUGGGUAGCCCCAGAGGCUGGAGGAGGGGUGGUGGGCAGGGGCAUGCCGGCUGGGUUUAGGGGAGAAGGGCUGGAGGGCAGGGACAUGGUGGCUGGGUUGAGGGGAGAAGGGCUGGAGGGCAGGGGCAUGGUGGCUGGGUUGAGGGGAGGAGGGGAAGGCAAGGCAGGAGAUGGAUGCUUUCUGAGUUUCUGAACCUGUUUCUCCAGGUGUUUCUGUAUGGCUGAGCCCAGGACGGCUACUUCUACCACCGCCCCAUACACCUCCCACGUCAUCCCCCUCUCGUCCCACCUCACUUCCUGCACCAGCUCGUCCGACCUCUUCUCUUCCUUUGUCUGCUUCACUUGCUCCUUUGUUUUUGCUUCAGUUUUCUCUUCCGUUGUGUCCUUCGUUCUUCCCUCCUUAUUUUUCUCCUCUGUAUGCUUAUCAGGUUCCUCUUCCCUUCUCUCCUCCACCUUUCUCUCCUUAGCCCUUCUCUCCUCUUUCUUCUCCUCCCCCUCUCUCUCGCUGAGCUCUGGGAAGGCUGCGGGGGUGGCGGGAGCCGUUUUUGGAGACAUGGGUGCCGUGGAGACAGAAUGAAACUCCACCUGCCGGCUCACUUGCAGCUCAGUGUCAUUAAUCUCCACGCCCAUCCUCCUAGAGGAUGAUGCGAAAAGGAAGGCGUCAGCGCCGAACCCCUGGGGUGGGGUCAUGGGGCUGGUGGCUACAGAAUGGUACUGAACCACCUCCAGACUCCUAGAAGCUGCUGGGAAGAGGAAGGCGUCAGCGCUGAACCCUUGGGGUGGGGUCAUGGGGCUGGUGGCUACAGAAGGGUUCUGGACAAC